Molecule: long non-coding RNA, 3123 nt
Filed under: Monomorium pharaonis (pharaoh ant)
Lineage: Eukaryota; Metazoa; Arthropoda; Insecta; Hymenoptera; Formicidae
Description: uncharacterized LOC118647853
Source: RNAcentral
CCUCGUGUCGUACGAGCAGGAAACGCACGAGCGAGCGGUCGUUCCGCGGCGGGAGAGUCAUCCUCUCUCGCGAUACAUCGAACGCCGCGCGGGAUUUCUCGAACGUUCGACAGCGCAGCUGCUGCACUCCGCGGCACUCUGCCGCACUCUUUCUCGCAGAAGGUGCGAACGAUCAGCUGGUGUGGUGCGAUCAGCUGCAGCAUUCCGACAUUUUCGACGAUCGUUCGACUUCUUUUUGGAUGAAACGUUUAUGGUAUUUACUUGUUGUUUAUUAUUUAUUAUUUAUUAUAGUAGAGCCAUUUGUGUAAUGCCAUGUGGUUGUUCAUACAAAAUCAUUUCUAUAUCCUUUCGAGCUUACGUUUGAAAGAAAACUGCUAGGCCCCGAUUUCACCAACUCCGGUUACCUUAACCGGCCGGUUAUUUCAUUGGAAUUGACCAAUCGCAUUUGUUAAUUUUGCUUAACGACAAAUACGAUUAGUCAAUUCCAAUGGAAUAACCGGCCGGUUAAAGUAACCGGAGUUGGUGAAAUCGGCCCCUAGAGCGUUAUUUUCUUUCUUCUUCUCUUCUUUUAUUACAAUAAAAAUAUUUUUUGUUCUAUGUAUUAGAAGUGCAAGACGAACAAUUGAAAAAGCGCGAAUAUUCAAACGUUUCGAGAGCUCGCCGUUUGAUUCGGAAUUCUUCUCAAAUCGAAUCUAAUCGAGUUCGAAGAAUCGAAUCGCUGAUGAGAUUCGAUAUUGUCUGUUUCGACUUAGCUUUUCGACAUAUCGAUUGUACCGUCUAAAAGUUUUUCAAACAGAAUCUAAAGAAUUUAUCACGAAUUUUGCCGAGCAAUGGAUAAAUUUUUCGAUAAAAUUGUUAACAAUUUACAUUUAACUCUUAAAGUUACAUGCUGAAGAUUACAAAAAUUUAAUAAUCAAAUUUGGAUUUUAUUGAAUGUUAAGAUCUCUACGAUAGGAUGUAAAAUAUGAAUAAUAAAUAUACAAAAUAAAUUUUACUUCUUUUACGUAAAAAUUCUUUUUAUUGUUAUAUAAUGGAAAUUUUUAGUUACUUUAUAUUGUAUUCUGACGUAUCGUAACACGGUAAAACAUAAUUUUUGCUUCUCUUUUCUUGAUUUUACCUUGCUUUCAAUUUACAGAAUUUGUUUCACAAAUAUUGUAAAUAACAAAAAAAAUCUGCAAUUUAUGCUACUAUUUUGCGUAACAAAAUCUUAGGUAUUAAAGGGAAUUAUAUAAUUUUUUGUAAACACGUCUGUUUUCCUCGCCGCUACGAGGUAUGUUUAUGCAAUUUAUCGUAAUGAAGUCGUCUUCUAAUGGCGUUUUGUCAUGCUAGAUCAUCUCGCCGCGAACUUUCUUCCUCCGCGGCGGCAGGAAGUCGCGCGCGUGAUGUUCGCGCGCAUCCAACAUCGCCAGCGGGGGCCGCUGAAUAUUCGCGGCAUCGUAAUCGCGUACGACGAUUGAAGAUAAUGCGACUUAAUUUCUACGAUGAGCGCGCAAAGCUGGCUGGUCGCGCGCGGUGCGACACAUCGCGCGUAUCGUCACGUUGCGUUCGACGAGAUUUAAGUCGUGUACGUCCCCCGCGUACGUUUACAACUUAUUGUAAACGUAUACAACUAUAAUUUUUUUAUCCACGAAGGAAUAAGUAUAAUAACUAAGCUCGUCGCAUUUUCUCCCGACUCGCGCCGAGUUCGAACCUUUUCCUCCAUGCAGAAUUGAAUCGGAGAAAAAGAAUCUUCUCUCCUCUCCCCUUUUCACCGUUAAUUGUUGUUUGUCUCUUCGAUGGUCAUCUUCAAUCGGUUACCGUUUACGUUUUGCAAAAAUGUCUCUCGCUGCCGCAGACAAGCCUGAAUACCGGUAGCGCAAUCGCGCGUAUGUGUGCGUGUACGCGAUAACGUUGAUCGUUGCAUAAUCCUCCCGGUAAUGGUUGCAACACCAUUGUGCCAUCCGCGUCAUUAACGCCGAAGGCAUUGUUGCAUCGCGGCGGCACCGCUUGUUUUUGCCUUGAGCAUUCUUCGGGAGAGCUAUUAAUACUGAAACUUUAAUAGAGUUCCAUCGCGAUGAGCGAGUUGCGGACGAAGAUGAAAAAGAGCCGCGACUCCUCGAGAGAGAGGCGCAUCGUCUUGGGUUAAACGGUUUGCAUCGGUAUCGGCGAACAAUAGUGCGACAUUGAACAAGCUGAAAGACGAGAAUUGCAAAAAUAUAUAGAGAGGAGGAGACGAAAGUAAAUAUUAAUUGAUAUAAAACCGAUAUGCAUAACAGAAUGGAGAGGAGAGGGAGAGAAAGAAAAGUCGCAGCAGAAUUCCACGUAGUAAAAAGUUUUGUAUACAUUUAGCAUAAUUUAACAUAAUAUGAAUACGUUAGAAAGUAACGCAAAUAUUAUGUGAAAAAUGUACAUUUUGACAUAAUUUGGAAAUAAAUCGUAGAAGCAUAUUUCUUCAGUGAAAUUAACAUUUAUAAUUUGUUGGCAGGGACUCAUUUAUUUCAUUUUUCUGCGUUUCAGAAUUAUAUAUUAGUUUUAUAUCAUGUUUAUUUGCUCAUAAAUAAUAUUAUUGUAACACUAAGAAAUGUUGUGAAUAUCGAUUUAACACACAAAAUUCAAAGGACACAAUUUCGCUACGUUAAAUCAAUAUUUGAAUGUGUCAAAAAUUUAACACAAAAUUUGUAAGGACUUAUUUUAACAUAAAUUGCAAAUAUCUUUUAUUGCAAACAAUACAAAUUUUUAUGUUAUUUUAUAUAUAUUUUUUUAGUUUCUUUAAGCUGCGCAACGGUACUUUUUCAGAACGUAGUUCUUAAACCGAAUCGGAAUAAUAUCACAACAUGAAAUUGAUAAUAAUUUAAUCGUACUGACGCUAACAAGAACCUCUAAUUAUAUUGACGUCAAUAAUGUCUUAAAAUAUAACAAAGAACUUAAAAAAACCUACAUAUAUAGAUAUCUAGGUUUGUUAAAUAUGCGCGGGAGAGAUUGGGGGGGUUGGGGGGUAUGCUAAAGACGUCGUGCAUUUUAAAUGAAAGAAGUUAUCUUGUUUGUUUACGAAUCAAUUAGUCAACUUAUAGAUCGACGAGCGCAACGACGUUACGAGGCUGUUUAAAGAAAGCGACGGAUCGUCGCGCAGCGACAUUGACCCAA